AGUCACUGACAUUAGAUACCCGCGUAGUCCAGGGUGUAAACGCUGCAGACUUGGUGUUGGAAGCCCUUUGGGGGCAUUCAGUGCCGGAGAGAAGUUGUUAAGUCUGCUACUUGGGGAGUACGUCCGCAAGGAUGAAACUUAAAGGAAUUGGCGGGGAGCACCGCAACGGGAGGAGCGUGCGGUUUAAUUGGAUUCAACACCGUAAACUCACCAGGGAAGACUGUUACAUGAAGGCCGAGAUGAAGACUCUGCUAGAUUUUCAG
This 263-nucleotide ribosomal RNA is filed under the name uncultured archaeon. RNAcentral describes it as "partial 16S ribosomal RNA". It matches the Rfam family "Archaeal small subunit ribosomal RNA", at positions 716 to 982 of the family's 1478-position model. The record is from RNAcentral.